CCUACGGGAGGCAGCAGUGGGGAAUUUUGGACAAUGGGCGAAAGCCUGAUCCAGCAAUGCCGCGUGUGGGAAGAAGGCCUUCGGGUUGUAAACCACUUUUGUACGGAACGAAACGGCUCGCUUUAAUACAGUGGGCUAAUGACGGUACCGUAAGAAUAAGCACCGGCUAACUACGUGCCAGCAGCCGCGGUAAUACGUAGGGUGCGAGCGUUAAUCGGAAUUACUGGGCGUAAAGCGUGCGCAGGCGGUUAUAUAAGACAGUUGUGAAAUCCCCGGGCUCAACCUGGGAAUUGCAUCUGUGACUGUAUAGCUAGAGUACGGUAGAGGGGGAUGGAAUUCCGCGUGUAGCAGUGAAAUGCGUAGAUAUGCGGAGGAACACCGAUGGCGAAGGCAAUCCCCUGGACCUGUACUGACGCUCAUGCACGAAAGCGUGGGGAGCAAACAGGAUUAGAUACCCUGGUAGUCCACGCCCUAAACGAUGUCAACUGGUUGUUGGGUGCAUUAGUACUCAGUAACGAAGCUAACGCGUGAAGUUGACCGCCUGGGGAGUACGGCCGCAAGGUUGAAACGUCAAAGGAUUGACGG
This 585-nucleotide ribosomal RNA is filed under the name uncultured bacterium. RNAcentral's name for it is "bacterial SSU rRNA". It matches the Rfam family "Bacterial small subunit ribosomal RNA", at positions 338 to 916 of the family's 1533-position model. The record is from RNAcentral.